Molecule: long non-coding RNA, 214 nt
Organism: Asparagus officinalis (garden asparagus)
Lineage: Eukaryota; Viridiplantae; Streptophyta; Magnoliopsida; Asparagales; Asparagaceae
Exons: 3
Source: RefSeq, a predicted model, not a curated record
GAUUUGGAGAGGCGAUAUAUGGCGAGGAAGAACUUUGUGGAUUCAUCUUCCAUGAUCCGAAAAAGCUUUUCAGAUAGACACUCGAGCAUACGAAUUGAUGGUCUGAAUCUAAGCUCCCCCAAACACAAUGCAGAUGCUCAGGAGUUCAGGUUAUUUGUUGGAACAUGGAAUGUUGGGGGUAGAUCUCCUAACAAUAGCCUGAACCUUGAAGACU